This 325-nucleotide ribosomal RNA is filed under the name uncultured Anaerolineaceae bacterium. RNAcentral's name for it is "bacterial SSU rRNA". It matches the Rfam family "Bacterial small subunit ribosomal RNA", at positions 1044 to 1382 of the family's 1533-position model. Lineage: Bacteria; Bacillati; Chloroflexota; Anaerolineae; Anaerolineales; Anaerolineaceae. The record is from RNAcentral.
ACUGGCUGUCGUCAGCUCGUGUCGUGAGAUGUCGGUUAAGUCCGCUAACGAGCGCAACCCUCGCUGUGUGUUACAAGUGUCACACGGAACUGCCGGUCAUAAACCGGAGGAAGGUGGGGAUGACGUCAAGUCAGCAUGGCCUUUAUAUCCUGGGCUACACACACGCUACAAUGGGAAGGGACAAUAGGUUGCGAAGCCGCGAGGCGGAGCCAAUCCAGCAAAACUUCCCUCAGUUCAGAUUGCAGGCUGCAACUCGCCUGCAUGAAGUUGGAGUUGCUAGUAAACGCAGGUCAGCCAUACUGCGUUGAAUACGUUCCCGGGGCUU